ACUCCUACGGGAGGCAGCAGUGGGGAAUAUUGCACAAUGGGCGCAAGCCUGAUGCAGCCAUGCCGCGUGUGUGAAGAAGGCCUUGGGUUGUAAAGCACUUUCAGUCGUGAGGAAGGUAGUGUAGUUAAUAGCUGCAUUAUUUGUACGUUAGCGACAGAAGAAGCACCGGCUAACUCCGUGCCAGCAGCCGCGAUAAUACGGAGGGUGCGAGCGUUAAUCGGAAUUACUGGGCGUAAAGCGCAUGCAGAUGGUUUGUUAAGUCAGAUGUGAAAGCCCGGGGCUCAACCUCGGAAUAGCAUUUGAAACUGGCAGACUAGAGUACUGUAGAGGGGGUAGGAAUUUCAGGUGUAGCGGUGAAAUGCGUAGAGAUCUGAAGG
Molecule: ribosomal RNA, 377 nt
Filed under: uncultured bacterium
Lineage: Bacteria
Description: bacterial SSU rRNA
Rfam family: Bacterial small subunit ribosomal RNA
Source: RNAcentral